CAGGACACAAUCUCGUACAUUCAAAAUCGGAGGAAACCAACAUAGAGAAAUCUCAUUGCAAUCGCAACUGCUCGAUCAAACAAAAGUUUGAGAGGAAGGAAAAAAAACAAACAACCAAACUGCCGUGAAUACAAUUCCUUUUGCUGCUAGACAAUUUCUCCUCUCCAAAGGUACCUCAAUUCAUCUACAAUAGCCUCAAUUUUGUGCAUCUCAUAACUAUGUAACCAAUCCAAUAAUCUAGUAACC
Molecule: long non-coding RNA, 246 nt
Organism: Salvia splendens (bonfire salvia)
Lineage: Eukaryota; Viridiplantae; Streptophyta; Magnoliopsida; Lamiales; Lamiaceae
Exons: 2
Source: RefSeq, a predicted model, not a curated record